RNAcentral lists this non-coding RNA (30 nucleotides) under Mus musculus (house mouse). The record is from RNAcentral. Lineage: Eukaryota; Metazoa; Chordata; Mammalia; Rodentia; Muridae.
UGAGAACUAAUAAUCAAACUGUCGUUGAUC